This 204-nucleotide ribosomal RNA is filed under the name uncultured Leptotrichia sp. RNAcentral describes it as "partial 16S ribosomal RNA". It matches the Rfam family "Bacterial small subunit ribosomal RNA", at positions 150 to 355 of the family's 1533-position model. The record is from RNAcentral. Lineage: Bacteria; Fusobacteriati; Fusobacteriota; Fusobacteriia; Fusobacteriales; Leptotrichiaceae.
AGGGAAACUUCUGAUAAUACUGGAUAAGUUAGUAUAUCGCAUGAUAUGCAAAUGAAAGCUACGGCACUAAAGGAGAGCUUUGCGUCCUAUUAGCUAGUUGGUAAGGUAAGAGCUUACCAAGGCGAUGAUAGGUAGCCGGCCUGAGAGGGUGGACGGCCACAAGGGGACUGAGAUACGGCCCUUACUCCUACGGGAGGCAGCAGC